Molecule: unclassified non-coding RNA, 413 nt
Filed under: Hevea brasiliensis (rubber tree)
Lineage: Eukaryota; Viridiplantae; Streptophyta; Magnoliopsida; Malpighiales; Euphorbiaceae
Source: RNAcentral
UCUGUCGAUCUUCUGGCUCCUACUAUUAAAAGGAAUUAUGCAACAAAAAUGGAAUUGUGUGAGAAGCGUAAACAAGAUUUGUUGUUAGAAAUAUUGUUGGAGGAGCAGCAUGGGAGGGACCUUUCUAAUGAUGAGGAAUUGCUUUAUGAUCCAAAGGACAUAAUUGUGGAAAACCCAUUACGAGCAAGGAAGAAGAGCAGUGACAGAAGCAGGAUGUCUAAGAGAUUGACCGAGGAGGCAGAGAGAUAUAUUGAAGAUUUCAUUUCAAAUGUUGAAGAUACAGAUAUCUCAUCUUUAGAUGGGGAAAGGAGUGAUACAAGUUCAAGUUUAGGAGGAAUAACGAAGACACAAACUUUCCAAAGUCCAGUGUUGUCCAAGCCCAUUCCUGUUGAAAUGGAUGGGGUUGUACUGCC